AUGGAGCCGACCUUGAAAUACCACCCUUUAAUGUUUGAUGUUCUAACGUUGACCCGUAAUCCGGGUUGCGGACAGUGUCUGGUGGGUAGUUUGACUGGGGCGGUCUCCUCCUAAAGAGUAACGGAGGAGCACGAAGGUUGGCUAAUCCUGGUCGGACAUCAGGAGGUUAGUGCAAUGGCAUAAGCCAGCUUGACUGCGAGCGUGACGGCGCGAGCAGGUGCGAAAGCAGGUCAUAGUGAUCCGGUGGUUCUGAAUGGAAGGGCCAUCGCUCAACGGAUAAAAGGUACUCCGGGGAUAACAGGCUGAUACCGCCCAAGAGUUCAUAUCGACGGCGGUGUUUGGCACCUCGAUGUCGGCUCAUCACAUCCUGGGGCUGAAGUAGGUCCCAAGGGUAUGGCUGUUCGCCAUUUAAAGUGGUACGCGAGCUGGGUUUAGAACGUCGUGAGACAGUUCGGUCCCUAUCUGCCGUGGGCGCUGGAGAACUGAGGGGGGCUGCUCCUAGUACGAGAGGACCGGAGUGGACGCAUCACUGGUGUUCGGGUUGUCAUGCCAAUGGCACUGCCCGGUAGCUAAAUGCGGAAGAGAUAAGUGCUGAAAGCAUCUAAGCACGAAACUUGCCCCGAGAUGAGUUCUCCCUGACUCCUUGAGAGUCCUGAAGGAACGUUGAAGACGAC
This 674-nucleotide ribosomal RNA is filed under the name Escherichia coli. RNAcentral's name for it is "partial 23S ribosomal RNA". It matches the Rfam family "Bacterial large subunit ribosomal RNA", at positions 2180 to 2848 of the family's 2925-position model. Lineage: Bacteria; Pseudomonadati; Pseudomonadota; Gammaproteobacteria; Enterobacterales; Enterobacteriaceae. The record is from RNAcentral.